Long non-coding RNA from Salvelinus sp. IW2-2015, 1363 nucleotides. RefSeq lists it as uncharacterized. NCBI's taxonomy places the organism in Eukaryota, Metazoa, Chordata, Actinopteri, Salmoniformes, Salmonidae. The record is from RefSeq and is a predicted model, not a curated record.
CAGAUCUAGGAUGUGUUAUUUUAGUGUUCCCUUUAUUUAUUUGAGCAGUGUACUAUGAAGGUCUGCACUCCAGCAUGCCAUAACAUUCCGCAGCAUUCCGCAAGCUUUGCUGAAGUAUUUUAAAUGAGGACCCACUGCUACCUGCACAAUAACUGACCACAAUCCACUUAAUUAAUAUUAGGAAGUGUUGAAUAUUUUUGCCUUGGGGAGAGCACAGCGCAUGGAAGAAAACAUAGCUUCGAGAAAGAGUGCUGGAGGUGCUGCAGAUACAUUUAAAUAGAUGUAUAUAKUUUCUCCUGUUGGUACAGAAAUAAAUGAAAUAAUUGAAAAUAAUACACCAGAGAGUUUUUUGAUGUUGUUGUGGAUUGUGUUUUAUCACAUCACGAGCGCAUGGGCCUACUUUCAGGAAGCCCGCAAUUGGGCAGCAUGCGUGGUAAAUAUCAAACAGCUGAUUGUUGAGUUGGGGCUGUCAAUGUGGCUGUCAGUGCACAGCAAACAGCAGCUAAAAGGCCUUUCACAAUAUUUCUAAAUACAAUUGCGGAAAAAACAGUUUGGARGAGUCAGUGCCACUGGAAAGUUUAAGGACUAUGAUUUCCUCCUCAUAUUGUACAAUCUGUCUCCACACUUCCAUUGGCCUAUGCUAUUGGUUGCAUUUGAGACCAGGUCAUUUGUUUAAUUAAUCUAAUGCUCGAAACUUGGAAACCCAUUGUAGAAAAUGAGCUCAGAGUUUUCCGCUUGGAAAGUAUCAGAAUCAACCAAUAGGAAGUUCUAAGCAAAAAACAUACUCAAAUUGUAACUCAGAGGUUCCGACUUUCUGAGUUGUCUUGAACGCACCAUCAGUAAACAUAUGUCAGUGUCAGAAUGUGUGGGCAAGUGUACGUCAGAUUAUUAAAAUGAUUUUCAUGUAUUGUAACUUUAAAUGUUUCAACUUCCAUACUAUGCCUGCUUGCGUGCGUGGGUUUGCUUACAGUGAUUUCCUCAGUCAGUGUCUGUUAAUCAUUUGUUAGGGGGAGUAUUAAAAGACUAUGUCUUUCAGGUACUGUCUCGUUGUCAGAAGGAUAGUUUAAGGGUCAGUGUUAGGUUCCCUCUUCCUCUGUAUAAGCUGCUGGGAAAUAGUCUUUGUGUGGUGUCAUUUCAGUGUAUUAGAAGUAAAACAUGGAAAUGCGAGAGCAAACCGAAGAUCCUGAACCGAACAACAUCGAAAAUACUGAACCAGACCACAAGAAGUCAACAGAAAAGCCACAGCGCAUCACUGCCUGUCUGGUGAAUGCAGCGUUCUUUGGUGCCCUUGGGUCAUCUUAUCUCUAUGGCUACAACCUGUCUGUCGUCAACGCUCCUGCACUGGUGAGUCUAUUUAUUGUGU